AAAACCAUGGCCCUUUGGGUUGUAUUGGGACUCGUCUUCCGGCGUAUCCUCAAAGCCAUCGUGUCUACAAGCGGACGAGAUCCAUUAGGACAGAACGUUUGAGGACCCUAAACUCUCUCUG
This 121-nucleotide unclassified non-coding RNA is filed under the name uncultured Archaeorhizomyces. RNAcentral's name for it is "sequence contains ITS2". Lineage: Eukaryota; Fungi; Ascomycota; Archaeorhizomycetes; Archaeorhizomycetales; Archaeorhizomycetaceae. The record is from RNAcentral.